Molecule: ribosomal RNA, 331 nt
Filed under: uncultured bacterium
Lineage: Bacteria
Description: partial 16S ribosomal RNA
Rfam family: Bacterial small subunit ribosomal RNA
Source: RNAcentral
CCUACGGGAGGCAGCAGUGGGGAAUAUUGCACAAUGGGGGAAACCCUGAUGCAGCAACGCCGCGUGAGUGAAGAAGUCAUUCGUGAUGUAAAGCUCUAUCAGCAGGGAAGAAAAUGACGGUACCUGACUAAGAAGCCCCGGCUAACUACGUGCCAGCAGCCGCGGUAAUACGUAGGGGGCAAGCGUUAUCCGGAUUUACUGGGUGUAAAGGGAGCGUAGACGGCGACGCAAGUCUGAAGUGAAAUGCCAGGGCUCAACACGCGAACUGCUUUGGAAACUGGGUGGCUAGAGUUCAGGAGAGGUAAGUCGAAAUGCUAGGGUAGGGGGGAAA